RNAcentral lists this long non-coding RNA (4203 nucleotides) under Capsicum annuum. Its description in RNAcentral is "long non-coding RNA (CANN_LNC012620)". The record is from RNAcentral. Lineage: Eukaryota; Viridiplantae; Streptophyta; Magnoliopsida; Solanales; Solanaceae.
UCACCCAAAAUUUACACAAUAUUUUCUUCUCCAAAAAUGGAGGCUACAAAGUCUCAAGCUAAAACCUAGAAAAUUAGGGAAGAAGGAAUGUGAUGGAAUGAAUAGGGUUUGGGUCAUUCGGCGCAAAUUUGGGCAGUUACAAAUUUUCCCCUAAGUUGAUUCCUCCACUUUGAUCACGCAUAUUUGAAUACAUCUGUAGCUACCUGAUCACAGCUAACAUCCACAUCCAUGGUUGGAAUACUUUUCCCUGAUUGUCGUGAUCCCGGUCACUGACUGCGACCGCGGUACCCAAGGCUCUCUUUUUCCAUGUCUUCAACUGCCCUUUGCUUGCUUCUUUUUUGAUCAUUCUCUGCUCUAUUCCACAUCUUCUAAUCUCCUCGACCUUAUUCCUACAAAAUAUGGAUAUUAGUUCAUUUAAUCACAAUUAUGUCUUAUUUAUUCAUUCAAAACAAACCAAUGUGCAUGAGUAACGAGCACAAAAGAGUGGUAAAAUCACCACUCAGCAACACCCCUAACUUAAAUAAUUUACUUGUCCUUAAGCAUCAUUACUUCUUACCAUGAGACAAAUCCAUCUAAGCCCAACCUAUAUGCCUUAAAGAUCACAAUGACUUCGACUUUAAUCACAACCAUAAAUAACUCAUUGCACAUGAGCUAAUCUAUCUUUACCAUACCCCUCAUUAUAAGAUGCACUAUUAAACGAUGCACAAAACUUCAAAGAACAAUCAAGAAACAAUCACUAAUGCUCUAGAAUGACUCUUUUUUAGACUAAACUAAGGUGUACUCCAUUUGACUCAUCACUCGCAAGGUGACAAAAUCACCCACCUCAAGUAGUUUUAUAUGCCAACCUCAAAAGAAAAAAAAUUCACACACCAAGUUACAAAAUAUGCAAUGAGGAUUAUUAAGUUUAUAACUCUCUCUCUCACACACAAAAUAAAUCAUUAUGCAACAAGUGUCAUACCAUAGGAUUGCCCCUCUUUUCAAUCGCCACUAUAAAGAAAGAAGAGGUUGGAGAUCUCGAAGGACUUUCUAAGCUUGUAAUAUAGGUUCGGGUUAGGGUAGGACAUCUCUUUGGUACUAACAUAGCUACACCGUUUAAUGAAUGUCUAUUUCAUACUUUUCGAAGUUCUUUUUUAUAAAUACGGGCCACUCCUUGCUUUCUUUCUUUUAUCAUGCCUAUGUUUUGCUUCCAUUGUUCACCCAAAUUUUUUUAUCUUAUUUUCAGGCAAUCAUUCCCUUGUUAGGUCCUUUCUUCUUCUAUUAGCCUCUUUAUUUAAAAGAUUUAGGUAUGCUAGGUAUAUAACUACAUUCUUCAUGGCACUAAACUCACUUUCACCAAUUUUUACCACUCCCAACUUAGGGUUUUUGCCUCUAAUUACCUUUCAAUUUAAAGAAGGGUAUGGUUCAAAAAAGGGGUAAAACUAAUGGUUCAUGGCUUAUAAUGUGUUUGCCGAUGAAAGUUCCGAAGGCUCGAAGUGGGCAACUAGGGAUAAUGUUCAUACCUUAGUAGGUUUUUUACGCUAAAGUGGGCUCCAAAAUCACAAAGGGCCUAAGAUCAUUUCUCCAACCAAAUACAAUCAAUGUUAGUUUUGAAAGACUAUUGGGGCAAGUUCUAGCUAACCCAAGUAUGCAAUAGAUGAAACCAAAAGCUCACGACACAUAGCAUGCAAAAACUAGCCAAGGAGGAUCAAUUGCCCCUCCCAUAAGAGACAGAAUUGUAGUAUCUCUCAUUAAUUACAAAUCAACAAUUUAUGGAGCCAUAAAAAGAGAAUAAGUUUUGUUACAACAUCACUCACGUCCAUGCCUCUGAUAUUUUAAAAAAAUUUGGAUGGAGGGGUUUGUUUAUUUCGCAAUAGCCCCACGCACAUUUUGCUAAACUAUUGUUACAACCACAACCUUAGACUCACAAUUGGCUCAAGACGAGAAAAUUAUCUAUAUGGCUACUGAGACUUCACCAAAGGUGUAAACAAAAUAAUUGCAAUUUUACAAAACAAAAUGCUACAGGUACUUAGACUUUCCUUGUAUUUUUUGACAUAUAUGCUAUGGGUACUCAGAAUUCUCUUGCAUUUAUGCCUCAAACCCAAAUACGACACUCCACCCUUAAGAAUAGAGUCACUCAAUCCAUCAUAGGGUAAAGUUCAUGCAUCAUCAUUAAAAGAAAUAAACAACUACAAACAAAAACAAUCAAUUCAUAAAAUUUCCAUGCUUCAUUAGGCUAAGUUCAAGUAUUAAAAACCAAUGAAUACACAUAAGGUUAGAGCCAUAUACCCCCAACUUAAGGACUUAUAGUGACCUCACUACAUAACAUAAUAACAUAAGAAGGGUUAAAAGGGCUCCCUGAAACCACUUUGAUAACCAUGGUGCAAACUAGACAGACUAUUGUGAUCAUGGUAUAUAUGCUGCGAUCAUAGUAACAUCAUCGUGAUCCUUGGUCUGCGAUCGCGGUACCUGAGGCGUUUUGCUCCCCUAUUUUGACCUAUUUUUCGUAGGGCUGUCACACUCCUUAAACUUGGUUUUUCCCCCUUUUUUGGCUACUAAUCUAGUCAAAGCACCUACAAAACAUGAAAAUUACGUGAAUUAUUCCAAAACUAAGUUGCACGAACAUAGAAAUAAUGGGUUUCCUCCCAUCAAGUGCCUUAUUUAUCAUCGGAACACGAAGACUUUAAUUUUCUUUUAUGUCUCUACUUGAAAAAUUUGAAUCUCCGUCCCAACUUUUGCUCUAUAUGCAAUGAGCGACAGAGGGACAGAAAAUUCAAAUCUUCCAAGAUAAAACCUAGGAGAGGUGGUAAAAUGGAAAGAAAGCCCCAAUCACACCAUUUUGAAAACUUAAACCUUUUACCCAACUUUACAUCGAUCUUCUUAAUUUGCUCCUUAGGUAAAAUUAAGCAUAUCAAUAAGCUAUUCCUUGUAGUUUGGAUGUUGAGCAUCUUGGCUUUUGAUGUUCACGGCUCCAUGUACUCAUUCAAAAUGAUAAACCCUAAAAUACAACAGUCGGACUCUACCUCCCCAUAAUUCUCUAUUUGGUUAAAAAGAUAGAUCUUCAUCACAUCCUCUAUGCCUAAUUUUGAAAAGUAGGUUGAACGAGGUCCAAAACCUAACUUUGGGUUAGCUUUCUCCAAAUCAUUGUCACAACAAAAUGAGUUAGAGUCAUCAUAAGAGGUUUGUUUUGCCUCUUCUUGACUCAAGUCUCAUUUCCAUUAUUAUGGCUUCUUCUCCUUCAUAUGAGUCGGAUGAUUGAGAAGUCAUUGAGGAAUCUUCCCUACCAAGAUCAUCAUCAUAACUUUGUUUCUCUUCAUAAUAACACUCCUCUUAAGUAGCAGGAAAGGUAGUGAUAGGUUCAAGCUUUUCUUCUUUGCCCAAGAGCUCUUUCUUAACACUUGUCCUUUUUUUGUAUAUGUAUUCCAUAUUUUCCCCUGUUGCAUCUACCCAAUCCAAGAUGGCUCAUAACCUUGGGUCACAACUACUGGAAUCGGUGCAUUUUUCUUUUGAUUUCUUAUCAUAUAACCUAAUAAAAUCAUAGGAAAAACUAGCAAUUCGAUUAGUAUAGUAGGGGGAAGGGGUGUUUUAACACUCAUCCCAAUGUCCUUGUAGAUAGCCACACAUUGGGUAACCAUACUCCCAAUCGGAUGGAGACGGUAAAAAAUCUCCUUGGGGAGCAUACUUACAAUCUCUCCUAAAGUGUGGUCCAUAACAAUAUGAACAUGGGUGAUAUGACUUUCAAUCGUUAAACUCAUAUUUAUUAGAGGAUGCGAUCGAGUAAAAUAAAAAUAAAAUAAAAUCUACUUGUAAAAAAAAUCACAAACGCAUAUAAACAAGCUUGAAUUUAAUCAAGCAAGCUAAAAUUUCAAACUAACUCAAUACACCAAAUUGUUCCCUGAUAACGACACCAUUUUUGAUAACGCUUACACAUUAAUUAAGGGCAAGGUGGUCGUCGUCAAUAUAUUUACCCAACUUUGGAGUCGGGGUCAAAUCCACGAUGACAAAUGAGAGUGGUGAUCAAAUUAAUUUGAAAAGAUAGAUACAAGUUAAAUUUAAAUAAAUGUUAUAAAAAGAAGGUUGUCGCAAUCACGGUCACUUACCGCGACCACGGUAUCCAAAGCUCCUCUUUUCCAAGUCUUCAGCUGCACUUUACUUACUCCCUUUUUGAUCAUUUUCAGCUCCAUUCCAUAUCUUCUAAUCUCCUCAACCUUAUACCUGUAAAAUAUG